This 22-nucleotide microRNA is filed under the name Pteropus alecto (black flying fox). Its description in RNAcentral is "pal-miR-484-3p". Its record names the gene pal-miR-484-3p. The record is from miRBase by way of RNAcentral. Lineage: Eukaryota; Metazoa; Chordata; Mammalia; Chiroptera; Pteropodidae.
GGGGGGCGACCCUAGCUUUUGG